GACGAACGCUGGCGGCGUGCCUAACACAUGCAAGUCGAACGGGGUGAUUUGCUUCGGUAAAUCACUUAGUGGCGAACGGGUGAGUAACGCGUGAGGAACCUGCCUUUCAGUGGGGGACAACAGUUGGAAACGACUGCUAAUACCGCAUAACGCAGCGAGACCGCAUGGUCUUACUGCCAAAGCUUUAUGUGCUGAAAGAUGGCCUCGCGUCUGAUUAGCUAGUUGGUGGGGUAACGGCCCACCAAGGCGACGAUCAGUAGCCGGUCUGAGAGGAUGAACGGCCACAUUGGGACUGAGAUACGGCCCAGACUCCUACGGGAGGCAGCAGUGGGGAAUAUUGGGCAAUGGGGGGAACCCUGACCCAGCAACGCCGCGUGAAGGAAGAAGGCCUCGGUUGUAAACGUUCUUUACCUAGGUACGAAGAACGUAGACGGUACCU
RNAcentral lists this ribosomal RNA (439 nucleotides) under uncultured bacterium. Its description in RNAcentral is "bacterial SSU rRNA". It matches the Rfam family "Bacterial small subunit ribosomal RNA", at positions 28 to 480 of the family's 1533-position model. The record is from RNAcentral.